UACAGAGGGUGCGAGCGUUAAUCGGAAUUACUGGGCGUAAAGCGAGUGUAGGUGGCUCAUUAAGUCACAUGUGAAAUCCCCGGGCUUAACCUGGGAACUGCAUGUGAUACUGGUGGUGCUAGAAUAUGUGGGAGGGAAGUAGAAUUCCAGGUGUAGCGGUGAAAUGCGUAGAGAUCUGGAGGAAUACCGAUGGCGAAGGCAGCUUCCUGGCAUAAUAUUGACACUGAGAUUCGAAAGCGUGGGUAGCAAACAG
This 253-nucleotide ribosomal RNA is filed under the name uncultured bacterium. RNAcentral describes it as "partial 16S ribosomal RNA". It matches the Rfam family "Bacterial small subunit ribosomal RNA", at positions 524 to 775 of the family's 1533-position model. The record is from RNAcentral.